Molecule: ribosomal RNA, 491 nt
Filed under: uncultured bacterium
Lineage: Bacteria
Description: partial 16S ribosomal RNA
Rfam family: Bacterial small subunit ribosomal RNA
Source: RNAcentral
GUGAACGCUGGCGGUAGGCCUAACACAUGCAAGUCGAACGGCAGCACAGUAAGAGCUUGCUCUUACGGGUGGCGAGUGGCGGACGGGUGAGGAAUACAUCGGAAUCUACUUUUUCGUGGGGGAUAACGUAGGGAAACUUACGCUAAUACCGCAUACGACCUACGGGUGAAAGCAGGGGAUCUUCGGACCUUGCGCGAUUGAAUGAGCCGAUAUCGGAUUAGCUAGUUGGCGGGGUAAAGGCCCACCAAGGCGACGAUCCGUAGCUGGUCUGAGAGGAUGAUCAGCCGCACUGGAACUGAGACACGGUCCAGACUCCUACGGGAGGCAGCAGUGGGGAAUAUUGGACAAUGGGCGCAAGCCUGAUCCAGCCAUACCGCGUGGGUGAAGAAGGCCUUCGGGUUGUAAAGCCCUUUUGUUGGGAAAGAAAAGCAGCAGGUUAAUACCCCGCUGUUCUGACGGUACCCAAAGAAUAAGCACCGGCUAACUUCGUG